Molecule: ribosomal RNA, 459 nt
Filed under: uncultured bacterium
Lineage: Bacteria
Description: partial 16S ribosomal RNA
Rfam family: Bacterial small subunit ribosomal RNA
Source: RNAcentral
CCUACGGGGGGCAGCAGUGAGGAAUAUUGGUCAAUGGCCGCAGGGCUGAACCAGCCAAGUCGCGUGAGGGAUGACGGUCCUAUGGAUUGUAAACCUCUUUUGUCAGGGAGCAAAGGGCGCCACGUGUGGCGCUUUGCGAGUACCUGAAGAAAAAGCAUCGGCUAACUCCGUGCCAGCAGCCGCGGUAAUACGGAGGAUGCGAGCGUUAUCCGGAUUUAUUGGGUUUAAAGGGUGCGCAGGCGGAAUGUCAAGUCAGCGGUAAAAUUUCGGGGCUCAACCCCGUCGUGCCGUUGAAACUGGCGUUCUUGAGUGAGCGAGAAGUAUGCGGAAUUCGUGGUGUAGCGGUGAAAUGCUUAGAUAUCACGAAGAACCCCGAUUGCGAAGGCAGCCUGCCGCAGCGUUACUGACGCUGAAGCUCGAAAGCGCGGGUAUCGAACAGGAUUAGAUACCCGUGUAGUC